RNAcentral lists this ribosomal RNA (434 nucleotides) under uncultured bacterium. RNAcentral describes it as "partial 16S ribosomal RNA". It matches the Rfam family "Bacterial small subunit ribosomal RNA", at positions 29 to 506 of the family's 1533-position model. The record is from RNAcentral.
AACGAACGCUGGCGGCAUGCCUAACACAUGCAAGUCGAACGGGUACCUUCGGGUGCUAGUGGCGCACGGGUGCGUAACGCGUGGGAAUCUGCCCUUGGGUUCGGAAUAACUCAGCGAAAGCUGUGCUAAUACCGGAUGAUGUCGAAAGACCAAAGAUUUAUCGCCCGAGGAUGAGCCCGCGUUGGAUUAGCUAGUUGGUGGGGUAAAGGCCUACCAAGGCGACGAUCCAUAGCUGGUCUGAGAGGAUGAUCAGCCACACUGGGACUGAGACACGGCCCAGACUCCUACGGGAGGCAGCAGUGGGGAAUAUUGGACAAUGGGCGAAAGCCUGAUCCAGCAAUGCCGCGUGAGUGAUGAAGGCCUUAGGGUUGUAAAGCUCUUUUACCCGGGAUGAUAAUGACAGUACCGGGAGAAUAAGCUCCGGCUAACUCCGU